Molecule: long non-coding RNA, 4226 nt
Organism: Falco peregrinus (peregrine falcon)
Lineage: Eukaryota; Metazoa; Chordata; Aves; Falconiformes; Falconidae
Exons: 3
Source: RefSeq, a predicted model, not a curated record
GGCCUAGGCGGGUCAGCGACCGCCGCCCGGGGAAGGCGGACGGCGGACGGCGGCCGCCCCCCUUCCCUUCCCUUCCCCUCCCGGCCUCGCACAAUGCGGCGGGCACGGCGCGGCCGACCGGAGCAGGCCCCGGCCCCGUCGCUUCCUUCCCCCAACCCUUCCCAGCCGGGGGAGCGGGUCACUUACAUGGCUGGAGCCCGGGGAGGAGUGCCAUAAACACCAACUGGGCUGCAAGAACUGAUGGGGUUUCUUCAGAAAUGUGGGAUCACCAAUGACUGCAUUUCUGCACUCGGAAGCUAGCUGGACCUGAGAAAACAGCACAUCUUCCCACAGCUUUGCACUGUUAACAACACAAAGGUGCAUAAAACUCAUUACAGUGGUAAAGCUGGGGACUACGACUCUGCCUUUUCACGGCCAGGUCUGCCUAAUCGUAUCUGUCACAAGGGUUCCCAAGCGUCAAAUGGAUGGCUGGAUUUUGGGUAUACCAGUGUGCUACAGGAGCCAACGCUGGGAGAGAGGAGAAGAGGCUUCACUCUUCUUCGUGGUGGAGGGAUAAAGGCUGAGACUGCCUUUCCCACCAAGGAACAGCCCUUCCUGCUACACCAGCAUUGUAUUUUUUGUGGUUCACCUUUAGGUUUACUGUGGCAUAUUUCAGCACAGUUUUAAAAAUGUACCAUUCAGGCAUUAGCAGAAUAAGCAAACCCCGUGGUACAGGCUCAGUUACCUCGUUUAGUGUCAGAUCUUCAUCUGCUGCAGUCAGUGGAAAGAUUUCUGCUGAUAGCGGGGCAGAAUGAAAUGGCUGUGAGAGGUCUCUAAGAUGCAAAGGCCGAGGAAAGGAAAAACCUGGGUUUGUGAUUGCAUUUCGACCCACUGUGCAUUAUGUACAGAAUAUCCAGUGUAGAUUAAAAUGGAGGUAGACAUUAAAGAUAUAUUGACAAUUAAAUUAAUCGACAGUAUGCAAAUCUUGCAGGCAGCUCAGAGGACAUGUACCAAACUUCACAAAAACAAGAAGGAAAUUCAUUUAGGAGCUAAUGUUGAGUCUUCAGACUGCAGCUACACCUAGCAAUAAAGAGCAUGUGUGAGUACAGGAGUUCACUGGUUGUAAGACACUUCUGUCCAGGCAGGGGGAUCUCUGGUAAUAUAUCUGAUUGCAGGAGAGCUUUCUUGCUUUCCUGCCAAAUCCUGUCCUGAUUGAUAAGUUCCCAGGCGGCGUGGUGAGCAAGGUCAUUAGGACUUCCCCUUGCAAAUGAAGCAGCAGUUUAAAAAAUAAAGCUAUACAGUAAACAGUUUUCCAUCCUGAAGAGAACAAAAUAAACCUCUGUUGUUUGCUAGAAAGGAAGUACAAUUAAAAAACCCCAAAAUUUCAACACGAACAGAUUGUUUAGAUUUGCCGACUGUUGAUUUACCAUGAUGAAAGACAGGCCCAAACUAGAAAGUUUGGAUCCCGAUCUGGACCUGACAUGCCCCAGAUUUGAGGGGAAAGUGCAAUUUAGAUUCUGGAGUAAGGGCUUAUCUUUCAAACACAGCAAAGUACUGUGGAUAAAAAUACCCAGGUAAAGUAGGAAGUGCCUGGUCUGCAACAACAAAUGUGACUUUGUAUUAACAAUGAACAAAAGCAGCAUUUUUUUUUCCUUUGAGAACAAUGAAAUCACUCAAGAAUUGUUAUAAAUGCAAACAAUGUGGGUUUUAUCACUUAGUUAUCAUCAAUAGGAUUAUAGUCUAUAAACCCUAAUUUUCAGGGAAGUCCCUAGAUUUCCCAGAGCGCUUCCUCAAAUUUCAUAUGUGUUGAUUCCAGGUUAUUAAGUGCUUCAGAAUAAGGGGCAUCAAUUGUUCCUUAGAUUUAUAUUACCUGAAAAUACUGAACACAGGGGUUUAGUGGCAAAGAAUGAUUGAUUGCCAAACAGUGUAUUGAUACCACAGCAGGAGAGCAGGCACUCCCGUUCUCAUCCAUUUUUAACAUAUAUAUAGGUAAGUAACAUGUAAUUCAAUGUAACUUCUUGAAGUUAUUUUAAAACAUUGAAAUUCUGCAGCUUUGGAUAAAAAUGUUCUUUAUCCAGUCAAGCAUAAGAAGAAAGACUAGCAUGUUAAGAUGAAGUGGAAUUAUUGAGUUGAACCCCAGUAGGACAAGUUCUGUUCCAUGACUGCAAGUAAUGACAGCAUUUUUAUGGGCCAACAGUGAGUUUCUUCCUCCCUUUUUAAAAGGUGGGCUGUACUCAAAGGUACUCAAAGGAAGAGACUAUAUGACAUCCUGUUAGAAUUACAGAGCUAGUAUCUCAGUCUAGGCAUUAAUAGCUUUUAAACAAACAACUCAGGUUUGGUCUCAGACAAAAAUAUAGCUCAAUAAAAAUACAUAUUAAAAGUGCAUUUCACAGCACCAAAUAUAAUGAACACAAGUUAUGCUUCUAAAAUUGAACGAAUCCAGUGUUUGAAGGUUUAUUUCUCAAUAGCAAAACAAUAACAGGCUAUCUGGAAAAAAUAAUAAAUAUAGUCAUACUGAAACAUUGUAGUUUUACUUUUUAGAAAUUAAUUUUGUGAAUCAAUAGUUGUAUGAUUAUGUUUGUAAUUACCCAACGAAUUUCCUACAAGAAUAAGCAUCAGCUAAACUGGUAACACGAAGAGCAGUGAGCUGAAUGAUGCCUGUUUGCUGAAGCAUUUUUGGGGAGCUCUUCUUCCCAAUGGCUUGCUAAAGGCCUUGGCAGAGGUCAGGCAGGAGACCUAGGUUUGGUUUCCAGCUUCUGUUCCUGGUCACCAGGAUGCUAAAGCUGGGCAGCCCCGGGGUGGCAGUCUGCUUUCUGCAGCUGGAGUGGGAGGAAGAAGGCACGUUUCGCAUUUACAGUCCAGCAGAGCUGUUCUGGCUGGGUCACAAAUGCUGCUGACAAACUCCACGGUGCGAGCAGCACAGCCCCCUUCACCAGGAAUAAGCAUAGCCAUGACAAGGGGCAGCAAACACGCUCUGGAGAAUUUGGUAUAUAAACAGGAACUGCAUUAGUUUGCAUAGAAAAUGCGCUAGUUAGAUAUAGAACAUAUAAAAAUAGCAAAUAUAUCAGUUCUGUCCCAUAUACCACUGCAGUUGCUUUUGUUGUUACAGUACUAACCACAAGCCCCAGUCUGAACCAGGCAGCAUUAGCACUGUAGAGACACAUCAUAAGCCAUGGUCUUUGAUCUGAAGGACUGAAGUCUGCUUCAAACCGCUGCAUUGCUUAUAAAGUAACAUGUCAGGAGUUCUUAGUUCAGGGAAGAUACCUGAAAAUGCUGAAAUUUCAAUGAUCUGUGGGAGGAAACAUCAUGCUCUUAACCACAGUCAGAAAGGCAAAUCCUCUGAGACUGAAAUGCUGAAGGUAUAGACAUACAUUAAAAGAAAAAUAAAAACUUGUCAGGUUCCUGUUGCUUUCCCAACUCUCACACACCCAACCCUGAUUCUGCUAUUAACCCAAAAUUAUGGAGUUGAAUACAAUGUGGGCAUAUUCCUUUGGAUGCAGUUGCAGUGGCUGAUCACCCCUGCAAGUCCUCACGUGGAAACGUGGAAGGAGCAGCAGCCAUGCUGCGGGAUGUGGACACUGGCACAGCCAUGGGUUCUUGGGGCCCUGGUCCUCCUGCAUUGAGCUCCAGGGGAAAGCCAGUGCAGAGCAGGUCAUCUUCCUCAUGAUACGUGCAGUUUUCCUAGAGAUCAAGAGCUGUAAUCGAGCUGUUAAGGUUUGAGGCAUCAUGGUGACAGGGGCUUCCUAGAUCCUUUAAAAUGUCAUACAUAUGACAUUUAUCCAGUGGACUGGCAGGGGCUUUUAUUGUUUGCAUGUUAACGCUAGAGGAGAAGGGAUUGCUUUUAAUUUCUUCAGUGCAUUCUUAAUGGCAUCUGCAUGCACGUGAAGAUCUGCUGUCCUUUGGAUCACUUCAAAAUUGUAUCCUUUGGAAACUUUUAAGGGCAGAAGUGAUCAUUUCAGCAUCGUUCUGGUCUGACCCUCUGGCUACUUCAGACAUAAAAUUGCACUUAGUGAUGUCUUCAUCUGUAUUCACAUCUCAUAGGUAAGAGAUGACACUACCAUGAAUAAAAACAGGAAAAGCGAAGAAAGAAAUUCCUAUCUUUGGUGCACUCUUUACUUCAGAGCCCUGUUGUGUACUUGUUUCUACAGCCACGCUGAUCAGACACCAAAUAAAAUGCAACAGCUUAUGGAGGAAAAAACCCAGAUGAGUUUCUGCUUAUUUAUCACACAAGAAGCACUUCUACGAAA